This 339-nucleotide long non-coding RNA is filed under the name Elaeis guineensis (African oil palm). Its description in RNAcentral is "long non-coding RNA (EGUI_LNC051990)". Lineage: Eukaryota; Viridiplantae; Streptophyta; Magnoliopsida; Arecales; Arecaceae. The record is from RNAcentral.
AUCUCACGGUGUUUUGUUUUAAUUUUAUCGCACAAAAUUCUCAUACCACCAGUGAAUAGGGUGCUGCCCUUUAAAUAGGUGUGGCAUCCUAAUCUAAUCAAAAGUCAUAAUCAGUUUAGGACUCAAAACUUUGUCCAACUAGGGAACCCAACUAAAGAAAGGAGAGCGCCUCUUGCUUUCAUGCACGCACAUCAAAGGGGCAACAAUUAUUUGCACACCCUCCUCUCCUUAGUCGGCCACCAUAUGAUAGAGAGUCUCAAGAUUUUGGGACUCUUUGUUCUAAAUCAAAUGGCUUCAGAUUUAACUUGAUUUGGAUCUGAUUCCAACCUGAUUCAAACC